AGUGUAGGUAGAGGCGCGGGCUUCAUGAGUAAAAAUCCGGAGAAUAAUGGAUUCGACGAUGGAUUUUGAAAGGGGAUACCGCCGAAGCAGUGAAUGGCCCAUUCCAUCCACUUGCUGGUCCUGUAUUGAAUAAAUGCAGGAUUGUCAGGGUACACCACCCUGGAGGGCUAUCUCACAU
Molecule: regulatory RNA element, 178 nt
Organism: Bacillus sp. B-jedd
Lineage: Bacteria; Bacillati; Bacillota; Bacilli; Caryophanales; Bacillaceae
Rfam family: Lysine riboswitch aptamer
About the family: Riboswitches are metabolite binding domains within certain messenger RNAs that serve as precision sensors for their corresponding targets.
Source: Rfam